UGAACUACGCGGUCAAGGCGUACCAUCCUCGAAGUCAAUACGUCAAUAACGUCCCCGAGAGAUCGAUCACCGUCAUCACCGUGAUCACCGUGAUUGAUAUUGAAAAUGGAGGUUCCUUCGUGGGAUAAUGUUGAUGACACUCCAGUUUUCAUCAAUAAUAGUACUGAAACAAGUGAAGUAACGAGUACUUGUUGUGAUAAAUUUAAAAUAGAACUCAGAUCAGCACAAAAAAUUAUUGAACUACUACAAGAAGAGAUGAACUUAAACACGGCCAAUCGGACUGUAAGUACGGACGCAUUUUACUUGCAUCACAACGAGAAUUCAUCACUAUUGGAAUUCAAAAAAGGAAACUGGGUUCAUGUGUUCUUGAAUCUCAGCUGGAACAUCUGGCCAACCUGACGUAGGUUUUUCAUGGUGUUUCACAGUACCUCCAGGCAAAUGCUGGCUGGACUUUGUAUCUCUUAUCAGGUGACGACCACCAAGACUUUUGAAUACAUAAUUUUUGAUCAUCAGCCAUUUGAUACUAUAUAGUUUCCGCUACGAAGUUUGUUGUGAAAUCAGGAAAAUAAAUGUGGUGCAGGAGCAGUUUUGAAUGUUAUUAAUAAUCUGAAAUAACUUUCAGUGCCAGAAGAAGUACUGUCCAACAUCAAGAUUGAACCAGAUGACAGCGCACUGGAGCUACAGGUAGCCCUCAAGAAAGCACGCAGACUGAAGCUGCAGGAGGCUGUUACAAAAUCAAAGAACAGUAUAAAAAAGGUACAUCACAUGGGCAGAUUUCCUUUUUAAUCCUCACAAAUGUUUGGCUGUAGUAGGGGACAUUUCUUUUGAUCAGUCAAGGCCAUCUUCCCCUCACUUGUCUGAGACAAUAGAGGAACAGCCCUAAGGAUAGGUGGUGGGAGGUGAUGAAAUUGGACCUAGCUACAGAAUCCUGUGCUGUGUUUAGUUCCUACACAGUGUCUCCAUAUGUUCCAGUUAUAAAAUGUUGACCAGAACUUUGUAGUAAAAUUCACUGUGAUCUUUCCUCUUUGGUUACUAUACAAAACCGUUGUACUGUGGAGAAACUGUGUUCUGAUUUAACCUGAGGGCUAUUAAAUUGUUUCUCUCACAGUCUGUUGUGGUGGGCCUCAAACCAGUAAAGCAUAUCGUUACAUUUAAGUCAUAUCAUCAUCCUUUCGUACUAUGCUAUGAACCAGAAGGUUGUGGGUUCAAUUCCCAGUGAGGGAAUUGGAUUUUUAAAUUGACCCAAUCCUUCCAGCCAUACUAUGGGGUGGAUUCAGCCUCUAACAGAAAUGAGUACCAGGGAUUGUCCUGGGGGGAUGGGAAUGUAAGGUUGACAAACUCACCGCUGUCUGUGAGUUUGGCUUUGUUUCCCGCCAGUACUGGUUUUUUGCUUGGUUUGUUCUUCAGCCCUGAAGAUGGAGGUGACGUGUGUCUCCAAAAUGUCUGUUGACUUUUGACAGACUACACGGCGUUAUAUCCCAGAUGACAGAACUCUCAAAACCACUGCUGUCAGAAGCUUACACCCUACACAGUGUAGUCAGUACUUUACAGUGCAGUAAUGUUUUAUACAGUGGUUGGUGGGUCAGCAGUUCUAUCUCAAGGUAAUGAAUUGGUAAUUUUUGGGCUGCGCAUUUGCAUCUUGCUAAUCUCGUACAAAAUUUACAUUACAGGGCUUUGAGAGGGAAAUGAUUGAAGAGAAGAAACAUCAGGAAGAAGGCAAACGUGGAGCUUGGAAUGAAGUUGAGAUUGAGAUGAUGAAAAGUUUGGGCAUCGCGAGCAGUACAGUGGUCCGACCUUAGACUUCAAAGAAGAGGAGGAGGGCUACCAACCGGAUGUUAAACUCGACUACACAGAUGAUAAUGGACCUGUGCUUAAUGCAAAGGAGGCUUUCAGAUACCUGUCUCAUAAAUUUCAUGGAAACGGACCUGGCAGAAAUAAAGCAGAGAAACGAAUGAAGAAGAAUGAACAGGAAGGAGGCAACCAUCUCGAAAACAAAACUGCAAAUUCUUCGUGAAAUACGCCGGCACCAACUCUGAAAUUUAGUAUGGACUUAUAUUUUUAUUGUUUCUGUCUGCAAUAUCAUCUCUAUUUUUAAGUAAGACACAGCUUGCAGCUGACGAUAGUGCCUGUAGGUACUGGAAGGAAGGCCACAGAGUUCAUGUCACAUUCAAAUGAGUACAGAGGUUCUCCUGUGCCAGCUGUUGGCACUUGUAAGCUGAGAAGUACAAUUUCUAGUGAGCAGUUGCUUGUUUAUAGGACCUGAGCCAGAUGAACUGCCUCUGAACUAAAUUGGACAUGAAUUAAUUGUAUAUUUGGCCUUUCUUGAUUGCAGUAGCAAUAUUUCUACACCCCCCAUCCAUGCUGCAUUCAGGCCGGCAAAUUGGCCACUGAACAUUGUGACAUGUAUCCUUCCAAAAGACGAAAGAAACCCUUGUUCAGUGAUAGGCCAGUAUGAAAAGCUGUGAAAUUAUACAAGCCACAGAAUCAGAACAGAAUCAGAUGUACAGUCUACUGCAAAUCACUGUAAAGCACCACUGACAUAUUAUUGAAACAUUUGUAAUGGAUUUAUAAAAGUAACUUGGUUCAUCCUGGCCCAUCACACUCGCAACUGUAUAUAAGAUUUUUAACCAUUGUCCAGUGUGAUUGAUAA
This is a long non-coding RNA of Cryptotermes secundus, 2650 nucleotides long. RefSeq lists it as uncharacterized. The record is from RefSeq and is a predicted model, not a curated record. The transcript is spliced from 4 exons. NCBI's taxonomy places the organism in Eukaryota, Metazoa, Arthropoda, Insecta, Blattodea, Kalotermitidae.